UCCAAGAAUUAGGAGCUGGUGGGCCUGUGGAGCCCUUCCCGACAAUGAAGCUAAUGAGUCCCUCCUUGCUGCUUUCUCUCACACAAUAACAUUUAAUCAUCAUUUGCACAGCAGAUGAGGCGUCCGCGGCAGAUGCGAUUCUGCGUGAGUGGUGAUUCUUGCCUGUGGGCGCCAUUCCUGCUGUCCCAGGCACACCUGACAAUCUGGGGCUGGGGCACACGACACCCUGAGGUGGGGUGGGGGUGCUGUGAGCACCCACGUGCCACGGAUCUGCCUCUGUGGUGUGUGGGAAGUGGGACGUGGAGGCACGUGUCUGCCUGUGGCACCCUGGCCUGGGAAGCAGGAGCUGGGUGUCCUGGCUUUGGGUGAAUUGUGGCCUCCUCUGAAGACCUACAGGAUAUCCUCUGUGUGCUCAGUGGUGCACAUGCAUGUCUGCAUGGUGGAUGCGGACAGGAACACGCCUUAGGGGGCACUGUGUGAGUGCAUCCUGCGCAGUCAUGCUCCUGCAGCCACUGGAGCGUGAACUCCCACUUCAACCCAGGGCUGACAGGGCCACAUUUGCAAAAUGCUCAGCGGCCAGUGACAGAGCUGGCUGGAGCGUGCGGGCUGGCAGGAGCCACGUGAGGUCACGUCAGUAUACACCAGAGAUUCAGAGCAGUGUUGGAUGGUGGUGGACCGGCCUAUUCCACCCCUACCUUCCUUGCUCCCCUGCCCAGCCCACUUUCUGGAAUGUUACCACCUCUCCUCAGCUGCUUCUCCAUCCUCUCUAUGUGUACUUCCUGUGCAGAGAGCUAUGGUUGGGUGGACCUGGGUGUUUGUAACAGUCUCAGGCCCACAUGGUCUCCAUGCUUCCCCUUCCUUCCCCUUCCUUCCCCUUCCUUCUCCUUCCUUUCCCCUCCCUCCCUCCCUC
This is a long non-coding RNA of Mus musculus (house mouse), 910 nucleotides long. RefSeq annotates it as predicted gene, 36690. NCBI's taxonomy places the organism in Eukaryota, Metazoa, Chordata, Mammalia, Rodentia, Muridae. The record is from RefSeq and is a predicted model, not a curated record. The transcript is spliced from 3 exons.